UCAAAUUUGGGAAACUGUAAGCAGCAUGACAUGUUUAGAGUGCAGGAUAAGAAUGUCUGCAGGAGUGAAGUGUUCAUAAUCAGGAGAUUAUGCGUGUUCUAUAAUCAGGAGAUUGUGCAUGUUGUAUAAUCAGGAGACGGAAUCUCCUGCAGGCAUUCAAAGCCCACUAACCCAUUUUAAACAAGGGAAGAAAAUGCGUGACUUUCUGCUUUAGAACAACUGCCCUUGGGACAGUACAGAAGAGGAAAUGAAGAAGAGGAAGUCUAGAGGAAGUGGGAACAGUUUAUUGACUAUUACAAUAGUCCAAGCAAAAGAUAAUGAGAACAUAAAGUAGAAAAGGAAAUGUAGGAAUGGAGAAGAAAUAACAAUUUAAAAACAUUUAAGGGAUCCUUCUAACAAAACCCAGUGAUUAGUGGUACAUCUGGAAUGAGGGAUUAUUCCAAGGUUUAUUAUUUAGAUAAUAGGUGACUCAUGCAGAGACUAAACACAGGAAAAACAAUUUUCAGGAAAAAUUAGAAAAGUUGCUAUUUAUACAUGUUAAAUUUGAGUUGUCUAUAACAGAUCUGUCUACUGAUAACAAUUUGGCUAUCGAACUCAGGAGUAAAAUUUUGUCUAAAGAUAAAAGAUGAAAAUUAGAAGUGCCUAAAACUGACAACGGGUCUGGUAUCUAGAUCAUCCAAGGAACUUCCGCAAAUUCAUCAGACUAAAAAGAAGAACCCUAAAUAGAAAAAAAAAAAUGGUCAAAGGACAGGAAUAGGCAAUUAAUAGAAAAGGAAACUCCCAAAUUUCUCAAGCAUAUGAAGAGAUGCUUAAGCUCAUUAGUAAUGUGAGACAUGAAAAAUUAAAAUUGCAAUGGUAUGUUACUCUCUAUCUAGUCUACUGGAUAAAAAUUAGAAAGUUAGACAACAUGAAGUGUUGGCCUGGAUUUGAAGAUGCAGGAAUUUAGAGACUGGUUGGAGAAGCAGGCAAGAGAUGGGCAUUCUGGAGUGCAAUCUGACAGUAUUUGGUUAAAAUUGACUAAAUUAAGUAUAGACACCCCCUCUGGCCCAAUAAUUCUGCUUCUGAAUACACGUGUUGAAGAGAUUCUCACACAUAUCCACAGGGUGCCUGUGCAGCAGUAUUCACUGUGAUAGGAAGUGAGAAGCAGUCUGAGUGUUCAUUGCUGAGGGAAUCAAGGGCAAAAUAUCAUGGAUGCACUCAUGGACAAAUAAGCAGCAGUUUGAAGCAACAACCUAGAUGGAUGUACAGCCAUCAAGAGGAUCUUAAAGUGUGGUCUUUAGUGGAAAAAAAGCAGAAGCAAUGUAUGGGAGACUGAGUAAUUACAUAUAAGCUCACAUCACUAUCUCUUCCACCACUGUCAUCCAUCAUGACUGAUCUGGGAGAUGAAACAGCACAGAUCUAAAGGACGUGGUAAGAAUCGAGAUCACCAGAGAUCAGUAGAUACUUGCAUACUUGCAGGAUUAACACUGUCUGGAUUCCAACGAUCAGCUGAGUAUGUUCAAGAUAAAGCUAUAGUACAUAUUUUAGAUUGGGGAUUGGCAACAAAUAGCUGUAGACUACCUUCUGAGGAAUAAGUGUUUUCACAUGUGUGGGUGUCAUUUCUAAUCCCAGCAUCACAGUCAGGUCCAGAUACCUGUUUCUGAUCUUUGGUCCUAUGCCUAAUCUCCUCCAAGAGUCCUUCCCUGGAUCUCCUAUCUAAGCAAGAUGCUCGAUGCCCACCAAUGAGUACUGCACCAAGUUCAUUUCCACUAGCCUGUGUUACAAUUUGUGUUUCUGUAUGUUUCCCUUACUUGUUAUUCUUUGUCUUCCGCAUUAGACUGAAAGCACUGCCACGGGGACCAUGUCUAGGACAUAGGAGGUCCUUAAUAAAUAUUUCUUGAGUGGAUAAAUGGUGAACCAUAGGGGUGGCAUAAGAGCAAAUAGAGGGUAGAUGAGCACUAAUCCAUUCACCACCCUGUUUAUGGGUGAUGGAUCUUGGAUGGCCUUUUUCAUAGUCAAAACAUACUUUUUAGAUCUGGCUUCUUGGGAUGUAUUCAAGGAUGCUAGCCAUGUUUGAGACUGUAAAUAUGUCUAGUGAAUAGGGCUUCAGGCUGUGUGUGUUUGCCUUGUUUUGCACAGAAUUCGGCACAGCCCCAAGCACAGAUGGGUGCUUCAUAAAUAUUAUGGAAGGAUGAUGACACAAAAGAUUAUUUAAUACCUCUACAUGGGGUGGAGACGGACCUCAGGCCACAAACAUACUUUCAAUGUGUUUUACUUCUGAAAUCAUUUGAACCAAAAUGUUUCAGCAACACAGAUUCAUCUGCAACCACAAAUCAGACACAUUCAGAAUGACAAAGCCCCAAAAGAAUGCCAUUUUCAAGGCUGAAACUGUAUUAUUCUGGGCUAAAUGGAAUCCUUGUUUUAGUGACACUGUAAGAGUAGAAAUUAAAGACACUGAAAAUCUUCCCUUGGGGAGCCACAAUUAUCUGUGAACAAUGAAAGUUUGUCUGAAUAAUUCAUCAGCCUCAAGGGUACAGGCCUCCCCUUAUUCUGGAAUCCCAGGAGUUUAGGCAAGUGUGUCAUUUAAUGGAUCUCAACUGUGUCCUCAGUUGUUAUUAUUCCAGGGCCUGGCAUUUAUGGGCACAUUCCUAUAAUUUUACUAAUUAAAGAAAAAAUAAGCUAUAUGGGAAACCACUGUCAAGGUCGAAAUUUUGAAGCUGCAUUGAUUUUACCUAGGAAGAAAGAAGCUUAUAAAGUGUCCAUCAUGAGAAUCCACCUGGGACCUACACAACAGAUCAAAUACCCAGAACAAAUCACCAAGUCAGAGCCCCACAGAAUUCUGAUUCCCAACCAGCAAGCAUGAAUAAUCCUUUUAAAUGGUCACUUACAUAUCAGAACAGGUCCUUUGUGAAAUUUCUAAGCAAGGCCUCUGGUUUCUGACUGAAACAGAGAUUUAUUGAGAAGGAGGGGUAAAGUGAAAUCAAGAACUACUGGGAAAUUUCCACAAGAAACAAGGACAAAUGGUUUUUGUUGUCAGAAUAAAACCAGCCUCCCCUAGCCAUGGUUUGGAAAGUUAUUUGCUAGCCCACAGGGGACAAUAUUCUCAACUGGUUUAUCAGGGACCCUUUUGAUCCAAUUAUAAUUAUUGGGCAGAUACAGUAGUACCCUAUUAUCAGAAGACCUAGUUUCAAAUCCUGAGUCAAUUUCUAAUUCACUGUGUGACCUUGUACAAGUCACUUAAGCUCUCUGAUCAUUGGUUCAACAUCUUUAAUAUGAGGAGAGUAAUACCUACCUCAAUUACCUCAUAAAAUUAUUGCAAAGAUCAAGUGAGUUGAUAUGUUACAAAUUAUUUCUAAAUUAUAAGAUUCUGUAUAAGUGGAAGGGUUAAAUAUACUCCCAUAUUAUUAAAUACCCUACAUAUCACUCAGGAUCCUAUAUGACUCUGAGUUCUCAAUUUCUAGAAAUGGUCCCAUUUUUGCUUUGUUCCCUACAAUUCUACGGAGUCUUUUUUUUUUUUAAAGGAAGGGUGUAGGCAAAGGUAAAUGGGAGAAAACAUGGAAUCACAUACCACUCUUUGGUGCUGCUAGGCAAGAAUUUUAAACUGAGUUUAGUUCACCAUCGUGGACUUAAGGUCCAUAUCACCUCAGGGAGACAAGUAGAGUGGGAGGCAUCCAAAAGGUAGGUGAUUCUUCUCCCCUCUAGUGAAGAAUACAAGGUCAAUUUACAAAAAAGCACCAGCAGCAAAUAAUUGGAAAAUUAAAUUCAUAAAACAUUCAUAAUAGC
RNAcentral lists this long non-coding RNA (3762 nucleotides) under Homo sapiens (human). RNAcentral describes it as "HSALNT0352611". The record is from RNAcentral. Lineage: Eukaryota; Metazoa; Chordata; Mammalia; Primates; Hominidae.